Molecule: unclassified non-coding RNA, 435 nt
Filed under: Ruminococcus flavefaciens
Lineage: Bacteria; Bacillati; Bacillota; Clostridia; Eubacteriales; Oscillospiraceae
Source: RNAcentral
CUAAGGAAAAAGUAGAGGAUUGUUUCACUGUUCAGGUAUUAAUCCUGAAUUAAAUAUGAUUUCCGGUGGCGAUGCGGUUAGGGGUAACACCCGUACACAUCCCGAACACGAUGGUUAAGACCUAAUCGGCCGAUAAUACUACGUUGGAGACGACGUGGGAAGGUAGGUGGCUGCCGGGUUUGCUAAAACAGCAAGGGAACUUGCUUUCAUAUAUAAAAUCACCUCUAUAAGAGGCGAUCAUUUGAAAGCUUAACAAGAUUAAACUUUCAAAUGGUUGAAAGCGGAAGCUUUUGAUCAAAAUAGCAACUUGAAAACUUCAUACAGUAGAGAUAAAUGAUUUUAAGAAAAUCUUAAAUAUCAAGACAUCCGAGAAUUAACAAACAAACCAAAAGUUCUUAUUGAACAAACUUAAAAUAUCAAGCUACAUAAUUUUGA